This 35-nucleotide transfer RNA is filed under the name Borreliella burgdorferi (Lyme disease spirochete). RNAcentral describes it as "partial tRNA-Ile". Lineage: Bacteria; Pseudomonadati; Spirochaetota; Spirochaetia; Spirochaetales; Borreliaceae. RNAcentral also lists the same sequence under 10 other names. The record is from RNAcentral.
CAGACCUGCGCUCUAACCACCUGAGCUAUGAUCCC